CCUCUGCUUUAACAUGGGGACACCUGCUGUGUUAGACAAAAGUAAGUGCUUCCAUGUUUGAGUGGAGG
This 68-nucleotide microRNA precursor is filed under the name Neotoma lepida (desert woodrat). RNAcentral's name for it is "mir-302 microRNA precursor family". It matches the Rfam family "mir-302 microRNA precursor family". Lineage: Eukaryota; Metazoa; Chordata; Mammalia; Rodentia; Cricetidae. The record is from Rfam by way of RNAcentral.